GAUGAACGCUGACAGAAUGCUUAACACAUGCAAGUCUACUUGAACUUCGGUUUGGGUGGCGGACGGGCGAGUAACGCGUAAAGAACUUGCCUCACAGUUAGGGACAACAUUUGGAAACGAAUGCUAAUACCUGAUAUUAUGAUUUUAGGGCAUCCUAGGAUUAUGAAAGCUAUAUGUGCUGUGAGAGAGCUUUGCGUCCCAUUAGCUAGUUGGAGAGGUAACGGCUCACCAAGGCGAUGAUGGGUAGCCGGCCUGAGAGGGUGAACGGCCACAAGGGGACUGAGACACGGCCCUUACUCCUACGGGAGGCAGCAGUGGGGAAUAUUGGACAAUGGACCAAAAGUCUGAUCCAGCAAUUCUGUGUGCACGAUGACGUUUUUCGGAAUGUAAAGUGCUUUCAGUUGGGAAGAAAAAAAUGACGGUACCAACAGAAGAAGUGACGGCUAAAUACGUG
Molecule: ribosomal RNA, 454 nt
Filed under: uncultured bacterium
Lineage: Bacteria
Description: partial 16S ribosomal RNA
Rfam family: Bacterial small subunit ribosomal RNA
Source: RNAcentral